AAGGGCGCGUCCCCCAUCGCAGGAUCACUUGCUAUGGUAAGCCGCCCACCCUGCGCGCUCCUCCGCGCGGGGAAGAACCUGCGCGGCAGGACGCGGUGUUGGAGUUGGGGCGCCCGGAGCUUGGAGUGGGGAGACCUGAUGCAGAGUCUGGAGUCGGAGCUGGGGGUGCUGCAGGUAGGAGCAGGAGCGGGACGGAGAGGGAGGCCCGAAGAAGACCCCACACAGGUUGGCGCAGCGGGGCUUGGGGAGGCUUCAGCCCAGAAGUGGAGAGGGUUGACAGACGCCUGCUUCAUUAGAAAAAGCCGGGAGGUUGGGAAGGAGACGGGAUUGAAGAAGCCACCCGGCAGGGAGGCCGAACGGCCCAGAGCUCUCCGGGUAAAACCCGCCUGCGGUGAUCUGGGAAGUGUGUCUCCACCUAGCCCUGGAGCAGCGGGCUUCCUCCCGCCCGUUAGAAGGGCGCUGUGCUGGAGUACGAACCUGGCCAAGAGAAGCCACUCGCCCUUCUUUGUCACUUAAAACCCUGUCCCGACGCGGAUCUCACGUCUAGACCUCUGUCUUUAAAGCGGAUGUAGAGCGCGGUCUAACCGUUCCCUAACCAUUGUGUCACCGCGAAAGGCCCGGGCUGUGUGGAACCGUCCCGCACGUGUGCGAUGAAUCUGGCUCCGCUGAGAACGGAUCCGUGGGCUGUCUGGCGCGGGCUGGGGCAGCAGCCGAGAGUUAGUCUACAGAGCUAGGGCCCGAGAGCGGACCUGCGUCCGCGUCUCGUCACGAAAGGAGGCUCUUUUUGGAGAGGCAAAACGUGGUCGCCCAGAUCCGGCGCAGCUGUAGCCGUGGGCGCUGUGCAGUGACAGCCACACCCGCCACCUGUCACGAUCACAGUUCCAGGGAAAGGGGAAGGGUCAAGGAGAAUCUAGCGGAAACUUCUUCCCAUCUCACGAGCUCUCCCUUCUCUCCGUGGCCCCCAAACACUCGCAUUUAACGAAUAAUCCCAUCAAGUGAGUUCCAGUCCGAUUUAAGCGGUGGUUCCACAUAGUCUGUUG
RNAcentral lists this long non-coding RNA (1040 nucleotides) under Pan troglodytes (chimpanzee). Its description in RNAcentral is "long non-coding RNA NONPTRT016738". Lineage: Eukaryota; Metazoa; Chordata; Mammalia; Primates; Hominidae. The record is from RNAcentral.